AGAAUAAACUUCUAGAACAUCUUGAACUUCAAACUGGCCUUAGGUUUCGUUUAGGAUCCAACACUAAUCCUAAUGACAGAUCAGGUUAUUAAGACUUCAAGUGUCCCUGAGAAGAACGAACUGAAGGGGCGAAACUCCACUAAGAAGCCAAAUUCAGUGUAAUUCAUGGGACUUGG
Molecule: long non-coding RNA, 176 nt
Organism: Lucilia cuprina (Australian sheep blowfly)
Lineage: Eukaryota; Metazoa; Arthropoda; Insecta; Diptera; Calliphoridae
Exons: 3
Source: RefSeq, a predicted model, not a curated record